AUAUCAAUAAGCGGAGGAAAAGAAACCAACAGGGAUUGCCCAGUAACGGCGAGUGAAGCGGCAACAGCUCAAAUUUGAAAUCUGGCCCUCCGGGUCCGAGUUGUAAUUUGUAGAGGAUGCUUUUGGUGAGGUGCGCCGAGUUCCUGGAACGGGACGCCGCAGAGGGUGAGAGCCCGUCUGGCUGGCCACCGAGCCUCUGUAAAGCUCCUUCGACGAGUCGAGUAGUUUGGGAAUGCUGCUCAAAAUGGGAGGUAUAUGUCUUCUAAAGCUAAAUAUUGGCCAGAGACCGAUAGCGCACAAGUAGAGUGAUCGAAAGAUGAAAAGCACUUUGGAAAGAGAGUUAAACAGUAC
RNAcentral lists this ribosomal RNA (351 nucleotides) under uncultured fungus. RNAcentral's name for it is "eukaryotic LSU rRNA". It matches the Rfam family "Eukaryotic large subunit ribosomal RNA", at positions 40 to 398 of the family's 3401-position model. Lineage: Eukaryota; Fungi. The record is from RNAcentral.